This is a long non-coding RNA of Cavia porcellus (domestic guinea pig), 2465 nucleotides long. RefSeq lists it as uncharacterized. NCBI's taxonomy places the organism in Eukaryota, Metazoa, Chordata, Mammalia, Rodentia, Caviidae. The transcript is spliced from 2 exons. The record is from RefSeq and is a predicted model, not a curated record.
UCAUGUGGUUCCACGUUUGUCCAGCCAAUUGGACCCUGGCUGAAGAGCCUCCUGGGACCUAUCCUUGUGAGGGUCCUUGAGGCCACUGCUCCCUUCUCCUGAAGUCCUGCAGUUGUCACAGAUCACACCUGGCAGGAGAAACUUGUCUUCAGGGAGGAAGACACCGUGUCCCAGAGCCAUGAAGUUCCCAAAACCCUCACUCUGGAAGUGCCCUCCGUGCCCCCAAAGUCAAGCAAAGCCCCUGAACGCCCAGAAGCACCAAGUUGAAUCCAGGCUGACCUUGGUGAGCUGCCCCAUCCUCAUUAACAGGGGUGGUGGCAAACACCUGUAAUCCCAGCACUCGGGAGGCUGAGGCAGGAGAUCACUGUGAGUUCAAAGCCAGCCAAGUACAUACUGAACUACAUAGGAAGACCUCAUCUCCCAAAAAUGCAUGCAUCUACCUGUUUCUUUGGGUCUUCAUUUCCAAAGGCUCCUAUGUCUCAUAAAACAUGUGUUACUUAAAUGUGUAGAUUUGUCUCGUUCCUGUCUUUUACUAGCGGGGCCUCAACCAUGAGCCCAUGGGCAGGUGAGAGAAGAGAAAUCUCAGAAGGAUCUAACCUUUUGAAAUAACCUUUGAAUAACCUUUUGAAACCAGAAUACAUCUCCUCUAAGGGUAUUUUGUAUCUUGUUCAUUAAUGUUUCUACGUGUCUUCACAAUGUGACCAACCUUUCCACUAGGUACCUGUCCUGCAUCAGGUAAGGUUUUCAGAUGUUAGGCCAUUCCACUAGGAUGUGUAUUACACAAAUGGAUGCAUUUUUACCUGUGUGUGGAUGAUUAAAUGGUAUCUCUAUAAACAUUCAGUUAAUAUGGCUGUUUGGGACUAUUAAAUGACAUGAAGUGGUUAAUAUAUUGAUGCACUGCUUUUUUUAUUUAUGUGUGACACUGAGUAAAGUUUUUACACAAAAGACUGAUUUUAUUAAAUAACAUUUGCAUAAAUUACAGGUGGUCUAAUUGCAUCAGAGCCCGAAAUUCCUCCCCCAUUUACAGUUUCCAUUUGACUAUAUUUAACAAAAAAUUCCAAAAUCCUCCCUGAAGUACAACUAAUAAAUCUGAAUUUUAUUUUCUUAAAUGUUAAGAAGAAAAAAACAGUUGUCUAAGGCUCAAAGUGACUUCUUUCCCUACUCUUCCACUCUUUAAUCUGCUUUUCAGAGUUUUGUUUCCUGUGUCACAGUACUGCUACAGGACUCACCACACUCUGCUGAGCCUGCAGCCAUGGAUGAUAAAGUAUCUAGAGAAAUCCAAAGACUCACAUGGGAAAAACACCACAGAACCCUUUCCAAAUGUGUGCUCAGGGAACAGCUCAGCUCCUCUAGUAUGAGAAAAUAAAAAUCACCCUUUCUUCCCGCCCCAGGUGAACUUCCCAAAGCUCGCCUUGGCUAUACCUGGCCGUCCACCUUUAGGCAGCUGUUUUAAAUCCUGUUUUUUGAGUUGGCUGCUGGGUGGCAGAAGUCACUGCUUGGGGCUUGGGAGCCCCAGGCCAUUCGGUGACAACAGGUGGGGGGGUCCUUUCUUUGGGCUCCUCUAGACAAUAGGCCACUUCCUGUUUAUCUAGACCUAGGACAAUGGGAGAAAAUACCCUUGGCAUAUUGCGCCAGAGGAGUCCAGCCCCAGAUGGGCGGUCUUUGCCCAUAGUGGCCAAGGAUAUGGCUGCCCUGCAGGGCUCCCUAAGAACCCUAUCACCCUCAUCCAGGUGGCCUGCUUAUGUCCUCUGUGCUACAUGACCAUCAUGGAGGACACAGCCUAGAGGACAAGGCCCCUGCUGCUCAUCCUGAGGAAGCCUCAGACCUACAAGGUGAGCACCAGGAUGGGGUGGCAUCCACACCGGCACUCAACGCUCCCCGGGACCAGACAGACCCCCGCCCUCUCCAGGGUCUCAGCCCCCAACAUGGUGACCUCCCGGCCCCUCCUCUGGGCCACGGGGUGCAGACCGAAUGUGAAGUCUCAGGAGAGCCAGGUUAGAGUUUAAAACACACCCCAAAGCGCAAUUUAAAGUAUCCAGAGAGGGACCGGGCAGUAUCCAGAGCUUAGCAGUAUAAGUACCUGUGUGGCAAGUGCAAGGUUAUGAGUUUGAUUCCCGGUACCCUAAAAAACAAAAUUAAAAAAAUAAAUAAAGCAUCUGGAGACAGCAGUCUGUAUAAACCCAAGGAACGUUAUUCUCAGUAAAGGAAGAACACACGGAGGUGUUUUCCCAGUGGCAGCAAAGCCCUCCUCUGUACAGUCCAUAGAAAUGCUCUUUCCACAGUCCCUUAGCCCUGGUGCCUGAGCAGUGAACUCAGUCUCAGAAUUUGGUCAUUCAGUUGCAAUUUUUUUUUGUCUUUUUCUUUUUUAUUGGUACCGGGGAUCGAACUUAUGACUGCCUGCUUGCAAGGCAGGCGCUUAUCCCCACCCCCUGAAUGUGCAUUCUUUGAAAACAAGAAUACAUAAA